UAGAAGAGCAAUCUGCAAGUGAAGCCACUAUUUCAAAGGUGGAUAAUGCCGGUCCCAGCGGUUUCACUCGCAGUGGGAGGUUAUUUGCUCCUGACGCGUUGAGGAGAGGGGAAGAAGAAAAAGAUAAAAAAGAAAAGGCCGAGGCUUUAGCCAGGGCGAUCCCAGCGGUUUCACUCGCAGUGGGAGGUUAUUUGCUCCUGACGCGUUGAGGAGAGGGGAAGAAGAAAAAGAUAAAAAAGAAAAGG
RNAcentral lists this long non-coding RNA (245 nucleotides) under Lathyrus oleraceus (garden pea). RNAcentral's name for it is "Pisum sativum (pea) long non-coding RNA (PSAT_LNC006594)". Lineage: Eukaryota; Viridiplantae; Streptophyta; Magnoliopsida; Fabales; Fabaceae. The record is from RNAcentral.